This 69-nucleotide transfer RNA is filed under the name Sardinella zunasi (Japanese sardinella). RNAcentral describes it as "tRNA-Ala". It matches the Rfam family "tRNA". Rfam says of the family: Transfer RNA (tRNA) molecules are approximately 80 nucleotides in length. Their secondary structure includes four short double-helical elements and three loops (D, anti-codon, and T loops). Further hydrogen bonds mediate the characteristic L-shaped molecular structure. tRNAs have two regions of fundamental functional importance: the anti-codon, which is responsible for specific mRNA codon recognition, and the 3' end, to which the tRNAs corresponding amino acid is attached (by aminoacyl-tRNA synthetases). tRNAs cope with the degeneracy of the genetic code in two manners: having more than one tRNA (with a specific anti-codon) for a particular amino acid; and 'wobble' base-pairing, i.e. permitting non-standard base-pairing at the 3rd anti-codon position. RNAcentral also lists the same sequence under 1 other name. The record is from RNAcentral. Lineage: Eukaryota; Metazoa; Chordata; Actinopteri; Clupeiformes; Clupeidae.
GAGGCCUUGGCUUAAUUAAAGUGUCUGAGUUGCAUUCAGGAGAUGUAAGAUAGAGUCUUGCAGGUCUUA